Molecule: long non-coding RNA, 498 nt
Filed under: Parus major (Great Tit)
Lineage: Eukaryota; Metazoa; Chordata; Aves; Passeriformes; Paridae
Description: lncRNA (ENSPMJG00000003942.1)
Source: RNAcentral
UCUGGAUAGGAUGGCCUUGAUGUACAUGUUGCAAAGAUCUUCUUCAAUGCACUCUGCUGAAUUUCCACUCCAGCAGACGUUUCCUCCUUUGUAAAUGUCAUAUUUCCUCAUGUGCACCAUGGUUUCACUGUCUGUGGAAGCUCUCUCAUCCUCAGUAAGGCAGAUCUGCAGAUGAGCCCUGCACAGGUCCUUUUGUCCAGGAGAAAACAGGAAUCAGUGGAGAUGCUCCACAGCAGUAUCCUGGAAGGACUGAGCUGAGACAGGGAAUGCUGGGGUCAGUGGGGACUGGAGACAAGGUGAUUCCCAGCACAACUUGGCACUGGUUUUUCUACCCUUGAGAACUUUUACAUCCCUUGUAACUGAAUACCCCUUGUAAAUGUAUACCCCCUUUAAAUGUAUAUCACUUGUAAAUGUAUAUCACUUGUAAAUGUACAUCACUUGUAAAUGUAUAUGCCUUGUAAAUGUAUAUGCCUUGCAGUCUUAAUAAAUUGGGAGGCU